AGAGACCCCCAGCAAAGAGACAGCGACAGCGUUCACUGAAGCCCCUUACUUCAUGGCCUCUGGUCAGUCCCCUGCCUCCUCUUCCUCCUCAGCCCCGGCAGCUACAUCCCAGCUUGUGGGCGCCAAGGGCUUCGCCCAGUUGCACGGCAAGCCUGUCAUCAGCAUCACCUCACAGCCCUUGGGGCCACGGAUCAUUGCUCCCCCGUCCUUUGAUGGCACCACCAUGAGCUUCGUGGUGGAACACAGAUGACAAGAGGCUCAGGAAAGCAGAACGGAAGGAACAGCUCCUGGAGCAAGACAGAAAUGAGAACUGUUCUUUAAUCCGAAAGUUUCAUUGUAACACUGAAUUCAUCGGGGGAAAACCCUUCCAGUUGUGUUACAAACUUUUAUUUCUUAUGAACCACGUGUGUAAGUUUGUAUAUUUUCCUGAACAACUCCCUAAGGUAGCUUUUGUUAUUUCAGUUUUACUAAGAUGAAUGGUUAUGUUUCUCCCCAUGAAGUAUUUCUUUUUAUACUUUAAUACGGGACAUAAGCUUUCUGGCCACCACCUUCCCUCCUGCACUUGUGACCAGGCACAUAGUAC
This 583-nucleotide long non-coding RNA is filed under the name Rattus norvegicus (Norway rat). RNAcentral describes it as "long non-coding RNA NONRATT015820". The record is from RNAcentral. Lineage: Eukaryota; Metazoa; Chordata; Mammalia; Rodentia; Muridae.